CCCGCACAAGCGGUGGAGCAUGUGGUUUAAUUCGAUGCAACGCGAAGAACCUUACCUGGUCUUGACAUAGUAAGAACUUUCCAGAGAUGGAUUGGUGCCUUCGGGAACUUUACAUACAGGUGCUGCAUGGCUGUCGUCAGCUCGUGUCGUGAGAUGUUGGGUUAAGUCCCGCAACGAGCGCAACCCUUGUCCUUAGUUACCAGCACGUAAUGGUGGGCACUCUAAGGAGACUGCCGGUGACAAACCGGAGGAAGGUGGGGAUGACGUCAAGUCCUCAUGGCCCUUAUAGGUGGGGCUACACACGUCAUACAAUGGCCGGUACAGAGGGUAGCCAACCCGCGAGGGGGAGCCAAUCCCACAAAGCUGGUCGUAGUCCGGAUCGCAGUCUGCAACUCGACUGCGUGAAGUCGGAAUCGCUAGUAAUCGCGGAUCAGCAUGUCGCGGUGAAUACGUUCCCGGGUCUU
This 464-nucleotide ribosomal RNA is filed under the name uncultured Pseudomonadaceae bacterium. Its description in RNAcentral is "bacterial SSU rRNA". It matches the Rfam family "Bacterial small subunit ribosomal RNA", at positions 920 to 1382 of the family's 1533-position model. Lineage: Bacteria; Pseudomonadati; Pseudomonadota; Gammaproteobacteria; Pseudomonadales; Pseudomonadaceae. The record is from RNAcentral.